UUUAGUUGUCUUCUGGGACAUCUUCACGUGCUCCUGGGUCCUCUCAUGUCUACACAGUGCAUGUGGUUAUCCUGGGUGAUGGAUAGAGAAAGGAAGAAGAAUGAUUUGAACACUACCUCCUGUCAAACAUCAUAUGAAUAGAUCUCUCUCAUUUGAAUGGGACCUCCGAAACAUGAAAUGCACAGCUGAUAAGUCAUUUGUAAUCAUCUCACACCCUCACCCACAUACAGAUGAGAUGCCUUGACAAGGCUUAGAUGAGGAUGGAGUAAACCGAGAUGCCACAGAAAAGAGAGGGAGAGAAGCUGAGAGAGUAGGGCAGCAGAUGAAGGCAGAUCAGUUUAAGAGGAUCAUGCUUGACUGAUAAACACUUGUUCCCUGAAAUGAGGGAUAUGUGAAAUCCCACUUCGGAGAGUUAAAACCAGAUUAAAAGGCAUUUGUAACAUUACAAAUAUCUGACUACUUAAUGCACAAUGCACAUCUUAACCGCUGUCUUCCUGAUUCAUGAUUUUCAGAGGGAGACCAGAGGCAUCAACGCACCCAAAAAGUUGUACAGACGUUAUGCAUGACACGGCUUCAGGGCCGGACCCUCACUGAAAAUCAAUAGUGAACUGAAGGAGUGCAAAGCUGAAUCGCUAUUUUGAGUGUGUGUGUGUGUGUGUGUGCAUCAGCACUUGAUCCAUUCCAACAUAGUAACGUAAUACCGCAGUAAAUCUACCAGUAGAACAUGCACGCCCCGACUUGGAGACAGCGAAGGAGCGGAAACCAUGUGAUCGAUUAACACCACCACAGGGAUGCUCUGCAGAUUUUUAAUCCCCAAUAUGCAACCACUCAAGCCCCGUCCUGAAAAAUACAACGUUUCACAACAAACGAAACUGCUGCGUUCUGAAUUAGGGAGUAGUUGGUUCAGAGUGACAGCGGGAGUGUUUGUGUGUCCAAUUUGAGGCCCGGGCUGUGUUUGUAUCCUUCUCUCUCUCUCUCUCUCUCUCUCUCUCUCAACGCGGCGACGCAUGCGCAGGUGGGCACGCGCGCUGGAGAGAACAGAUCCAAAUUCCAUGCCUUUAAAUAAAAAGUACAAGCUGAAACCUGAAGGCGCUGCAUGGGGUUGAACUUGAAGCACACAGGUCAUCGAAAUGCUUCACGUGAUCUCCAGGUUAUUGUGAAUAUGUGCCACAUGCCUCCUCGAUGUGCUUCAUACUGGACUUUUUUUAUCCCAGAGGGCACACCAUCAGGAAAUACUUUGCUUUUUUUUCUCUCCUUUUUCUUCCUUUUAAACCUCUGAAUGUAACAGCUAAUAUAAGAGAAACGCCGAGACGAGCAGCGGUGGAAGAAGUAGGUUACAAGUGAGGGUCCUGCAUUGGACAUGUUGCUCCAGUAAAUGAAGGCAUAGCAGGACAUGUCAGGAGAGCCUCACGUGCUCAGAUAGAGCCCUAGUGGUGCUCAAGCACCAGCCCUUUUGCCCUGGAUGAGAAAAGGGCCCUGGAGCCCCUUUUGUUUCCAUUCAUCAGCAUUUAGGAAUACAAAUGACUCUCUGUCAUCAAGUCCCCCCAAAUGUAUUUUGAUAUCCGACGAGGCAUUUAUUUGAGUUCUUGUGAGAAUUUCGCCCCGACAUGCUUGUACCACAUUGUUUUAUGUGGUAUGUUUCUCUUUGUUUUGUCUGUUCCAGUUUUACAAAGAUCAAUCUUGUAUGAGCAUUGCAGAGGGUGAAAAGAGUAAACGCAAGAAAAAACAACACUUGUAAUAACUAACCCAGAGUGAGGUCAUGUCGGGAAAUAACAGACUGAGGCUUUAUAACUUUUUUACAGAGGUUUGAUAUUUCACGGCAUGACCGAGCGUUCGAGGUUGGUAAGUUGUUUAUUAUAUGGCAUUUUUCGCUCAUCAUUUUGUAAAUAAAAACUAAUUGUAAUUGUUAAUAGAAAACAUUUCAUUUUGUUUAGCUCUCAUGUCUUCUCACGACACAAUGUGUUUCAAUUACUUGCUAACUUCAAGUUACAGCGAUCAAUAUACAAAUUAUUUUGCCGAUGGGUGCCCUUUGUUUUGGUUGGAAAAAGAUUAGGUGGAGCAACAGUCGACCGCACAAGGUCUCAGCAUCAUGAUCAGCUUUGGACACUAAACUGACACACACACAGAUAAUUACACAUAAAUAAGAAAGGGCCACUUUGUCCUUUUGUGUAUUUUCAUCAAAUAACACAGCGUCAUGUGACGUGUUAAUAAGACGGCUACUAUUAACCUCACCUUGUUAUUAAUGUGAAAUAAUAAUAUAAAUGUACGUAUAAUAAAUGAGCUUCUGAUGAGACACGCGCCAUGCAGCUUUUACACCAUUCACUUCAAAUAUACAAGUCAAUUAUAUUGAACUGCUGGUAUAAUACCUGUUAGAGCUGAGUAAGACAUCACUAUGGAGGUUGUCUUCAGCAGACUCAUAUAAAGGUCACCUGAGGUCAAACGCUGCUCAUCCUUAAGCAGAAGGCUGGGUCAUUCUUUUUUUCCAGAGUGGUCUUUUUGAUGGUGUGUAUGCUUUGACACACUCAAAACAAAGUACCUUUUCCAAUGUAGGGCUGUAGUGCAGCCACAGAUACUGACUGUACCACUUUGCCUGAAAGCGUAACUUCUUGUGCUGAAGGCGCUGUACUUGGAUGAACUUCGGAUCAGGCUGGUACUGGUCACUCCCCACGUCCAGGACACUGCUGCACUCACUUCAUGACAGUCACUCUGUGGCUUAAACCGACUGUUCCCGAAAGAGCAAAGAUAACUUAACCUAGUCUGCACAUGCAUGUUUUAACAUCAUAAUAAUUCACAUUAAGCAGGUAGACAAUGAUGACACUGUCAGACAUGAUGAAAACACACAAUCAGUUUAAGUUCUGAUGGUCCAGCUGCUGCUUCCUCAGCCUGCACUACAUCUGCUCUGGAUUUAUGAGUUUCCUGAAUGCAUUUCAAAAUGACGCCGGUACGCACUGUGUGGGCAGUUAGCCUUCUGACGUUACUCGCUAAUGUUAACUAACGACCUGGGCUACUUGAUAGCUACAUGUAGCCUCUCCUCUGGGUGGUGAAGACACUUUGGAUAUCGCUUUUCUUUUUUGGUGGCAUUAAUCAAAAUUUGCCUCAGAGGGCUUUACAGUCUGUUCACAUACGACAUCCCUGACCUUUGACCUCUCACAUCGGAUCAGGAAAAAAAAUAGAAAAAACAUUUCACAGGGAAAAAAGGGAAGGGACCUUCAGGAGAGCAACAGAGGAGGAUCCCUCUCCAGGAUGGACACUCUCCUCUGCUCGGCCCAGACAGGAGAAAGGAGCCGUGUCACGCCAGGCGUGAGACCGAAGGCCAAAGACCCCGACCAGGAGGAACCGUUUGUUGACUCAACACCCAUCCCCCCUUUUCCCUCUCCGUUUUAUUAAAGGUCACUUUAUGUUACUCUACCACUGUCUCUGGAUCUCUUGAUUUUGUUCAAAAUCUUGCCUCCAAGUCCCCCGUGUUGCCACAAUAUUUUAACAUCAAAUUGAUUGUGUUGACUUAAUAAAAUGAAAUGUAAUGCAGCAUGUUUCCACCAGACACACAAACACGAGCUGAAUAACAACAAUAUGAGCACCACACAAUUAAGCAUUGUAUUAAGCAGUCCUGCUUAGGAGGCUGAUUCAUUUUAUUUUAUCAGCCCGGCUGAGAGGUGCAAUCAGAAUACACCAAAUAUGAAGAAGUAUUACAGUUAUAAUUAAAUCAAACAAGUGGUGUCUUGAUAUUUAAUACAAUCCUGCUCAGGUAUGUUCACGAAAGACAAUUUGUGUCUUUGAAGGUUGUAUGUAGAUUAUUUGUGUUAUUGUUUUUUCUCCAAUUGAAUAUUAGGAGAAGUUGUAGAAACAAGUCACUGAGUCCCACAAGUGAUGAUUUUCAAUUCAAUUCAGUUUAUUUCGUAUAGCCCAUUCUCACAAAUUAGCCUCAGACGGCUUUACAAUAUGUACACAGACAUCCCUGUCCCAGAACCUUGUGAUGUCAUCAUGUUGCCGUAGACAUCCCUGUCCCAGAACCUUGUGAUGUCAUCAUGUUCCAUCAAACUCCUUCAUGUAAACCUCUUUACAUUUAACUUCACUUUGACCUUGACACCAGCCAAGACACUCAACCACACGUCUUCAGACCGCUAUUCUGAAUAAAUAUGCUGAACUUGAAGAAGUUAAGAGCCCAAAUGGUAUGUUGAUUAAUGUGUGGAUGUAUUUGUUGUCGAAGGACAAACUCAUUGAAAUAGUUUCUAAAAUGUCAUGGUCAAACUGCUGCUCACAAUGUACAUUUAAAAUCAUUUUAAUGUUUACUUACGGUUAAUUUCACAUAUAAAUUAGAGUCAGUUGAUACUUGUUUCCGAUACCGGUGCUAAACCGGUACUUUUAAAACAUACAGGUGCGUAAACCGGCCCUGAACCGAUGUUUAUUUAAAAAAUGCAAACCCUGAUUGAUCUCUUGGCCUUUUUUCUCAGCCUCUCCAUAACUGUAAAAGCUAACAAUGUAACUAUUCAGUAUGCUAGCAGCACAAUGUACAUAAUGUACAAUGGUAGGAAUUUGAUCAGGUAUUUCACAAAAUGUUGCAAGAUGUCCCUUAAUUUAAAAUCAGUGGCAGUAACAUAUACAUUAUUUAACUAAGUGUAUUCAUUCCACACAUGGGCAUUUGAAUAUCAUUUGAUUCAACUAAAUAGUACAUUUAAUUUGAGUGUUAUUAGACUGUAUGUUUUGUGUUUGGCAGUUGUUAAAUAAAAGAUGGUCUACAAAUGUAUUAAAAAAUGUCCUCUUUCAGGCGACAAUCAAUGGUGCGGCUGGCCCCGGCCUUGGUGGUCCAAGCCCCACUACAGCCAGACCUCCUCUUGCACCUACACCACAACCACCUGGGUGCAAGAGGACCUAUAAUGACGCCAAUCCGCCGGGUAUUCGCCGGUAAGUGGUGCAUCACUUCCUGUAUUGAUGAUUUACUUUGAUGGUCUGGAGAUUUAACCCUCCUGUUACCUUCACAUUUACUAACAUAUUUUACCCUCGGGGUCAAUUUGACCCCAGCAAUUAAAACCUCCAGAAAAUUAUUAGAAUUAAUAUUGUUUCCCAAGUUUAAGUGUGAGGUACUUUGUGUUUGUUUGUUGACUACCUAAAUAGCCCUUUAAAUAUAUAAAAAAGUUGAUAUUUCUUAUAUGUUUGACAGUGAAAAACAGCCUGGGGUCAAAUUGACCCCAAAGAACACCGACGUUAAACAUUGAAUGGGGUCAAAUUGACCCUAAAGGUAACAGGAGGGUUAAACAACUUUUUGUUUUAUGCAACAGCCCAAACAACCCCGGACCAGCCAACAAGCGCACGAGAACAGAGGAACACGUGGGACAAGUGGUGAGUCUAUACUUAUAUCAAUGUAGUUGUCAUCAUUGGUCUCAGCCUCUACAUAACUGUAAAAGGUAUCAAUGCAGUCGGCUAACAGACACAAUGUACAAUGGUAGCAAUGUGUUCAGGUGUUCCACAAUAACAAGAUAAAUGCCACUUCAUUUGAAAUCAGGGGCAGUAAUAACAGACAUUAUUUCACUAAGUGUUUAUCAUUCUACACAUGGGGAUUUGAAUAUCCUUUGAUUCAACGAAGUAAUACAUUUAAUGUACGUGUUAUUUGACAGUUGUUUAUGGUUAAAUAAAAGACAGUCUAAAAAUGUUGGAAAAAUGUCCUCUUUUAGACUCCUAUUAGUGUUGCGGCUCGCUUCAGCUUCCAGACUACAGCCAGACCCCCUCUUGCACCUACACCUGGGUGCAAGAGGACCUAUAAUGACGUCAAUCUCCAGGGUAUUCGCCGCCCAAACAACCCCGGACCAGCCAACAAGCGGAAAACAGAGGAACACGUGGGACAAGUGACUCAUUCUGCACAUUAGCCACGACGUGAGACGAAGAGGGCUUUGGAGGACGUCUCAUAUAAGCCCGAACAGCCCAGGACCUGACAGGAGAGCCCCAAGAAGAACAUCGACUCCCAGGAUGGACCGGAUGUAUAUAUUUUAAUGUUUUGUAUUUGUAUUGUAUUGUAUUGUAUUUUUUGUUUAAUCUUGCACUGUGAUGCAUUUGAAAUACAUCUUCCAUUUUACUGUAUAAUGAAACGAUCUUCUACUGUAUUGUAUUUCAUAUUCAUUGCCAUUGUAUGUUUUUGCAAUUACAUCAGCCAGUGUAUUUGCAAUAAAUCUUACAUGGCAUUGAAUUUGAAAUACAUCUUACAUUUUUUGUAUUGUAAAAGAUCUUUCACUGUAUUGUAUUUCAAAUGCAUCUUCUAUUGUAUUGUAUUGUAUUGUAUUUUUUUGUUUAAUCUUGUACUGUGAUGCAUUUGAAAUACAUCUUCCAUUUUAUUGUAUUAUGAAAUGAUCUUCCACUGUAUUGUAUUUCAUUUUCAUUGCCAUUGUAUGUUCUUGCAAUUACAUCAGCCAGUGUAUUUGCAAUAGAUCUUACAUGGCAUUGAAUUUGAAAUACAUCUUCCAUUUUCUGUAUUGUAAAAAGAUCUUUCACUGUAUUGUAUUUCAAAUGCAUCUUAUAUUGUAUUUUAUUUUAUUGUUUUGUAUUGUUUUCAUCUGUCAUUGUAUUGUAUUGUAUUGUUUUCUUCUGUCAUUGUAUUGUAUUGUAUUAUUUUGUUUUCUUCUGUCAUUGUAUUGUAUUGUAUUGUAUUUACCUGUAAUUGUAUUUUUUGUCCCUGCGACCCUAAUGGAUGGAUGGAUGGAUGUAUUUUAUUGGAAGUACAUCAGCCAUUGGCUGUCCAAUAAAUCUUAAAUUGUUCCCUGCACUAAAGUCUUUUCCUGUCUCUUGAUUAUUUUGUUUAAAAACACGUGUAUUAAACUUAAAGAUAUGCACAACAUACAUGACAGUA
This is a long non-coding RNA of Pseudoliparis swirei, 6835 nucleotides long. RefSeq lists it as uncharacterized. The transcript is spliced from 4 exons. The record is from RefSeq and is a predicted model, not a curated record. Lineage: Eukaryota; Metazoa; Chordata; Actinopteri; Perciformes; Liparidae.